RNAcentral lists this unclassified non-coding RNA (209 nucleotides) under uncultured bacterium. RNAcentral describes it as "partial contains 16S ribosomal RNA and 16S-23S ribosomal RNA intergenic spacer region". The record is from RNAcentral.
GCCCCACUCAUACGGGAGGCAGCAGUGGGACAGUUGGGUCAGAACGAACGCUGGCGGCCCACUCCUACGGGAGGCAGCAGUGGGACUCCUACGGGAGGCAGCAGGGGGGCCCACUCGUAAGGGAGGCAGCAGUGGGACCUUGGCUCAGAACGAACGCUGGCGGCGGAACUCCUACGGGAGGCAUCAGAUCUUGCGGAGAACUCGAGCCU